This 363-nucleotide ribosomal RNA is filed under the name uncultured eukaryote. Its description in RNAcentral is "partial 18S ribosomal RNA". It matches the Rfam family "Eukaryotic small subunit ribosomal RNA", at positions 592 to 976 of the family's 1831-position model. The record is from RNAcentral.
CAAUAGCGUAUACUAAUGUUGUUGCAGUUAAAAAGCUCGUAGUUGAACUUCUGGUAGGAGUGUCCCGGCCUUUUUGUUUUUACAAAUUGUAUGCUGUGUGACAUCUCUGGCCAUCCUUCUUCUUUGUUUAAAGAAGAUCUUUCACUGUAAAAAAAUUGGGGUGUUCAAAGCAAAAGUUUCUUUGGAAUAUAUUAGUAUGGGAUGAUAAGAUAGGCUCUAGAUGCUAUUUUGUUGGUUUGCACAUUUAGAGAAUGAUUAACAGGGACAGUUGGGGGUAUUCGUAUUUACAUGUCAGAGGUGAAAUUCUUGGAUUUUGGAAAGACGAACUACUGCGAAAGCAUUUACCAAGGAUGUUUUCAUUAA